AACUGACCUGAUAUUUCUCUCCAUUCUUUUAAAAAAAAGAUCCAUGAGGAAAUAAGCUAAUGAGAGAUAAACUUUACUUUUGAUUCAAUAGCCAUGGGAGAGGAUGGACUGGUAUGAAGCUCUCCUGGCUCUAAUGGCUAAAGGGGAAUAGGAAGCACUUAUAGGAGGAUUGCAUUCUGGGUAGAGGGAGAGACUGCAAUAGAACACAUCUUCCUUGCUAGAUGAUGCCUGAACAUCUGACUCCACUUCUGUGACUUCUUUUCAACUAGCUACAGGAGAUGGGAGUAUAGGCAGCAAGCUGACAACGUCCAAGAAAGAGCAUUCAUACUAUUAUCUCUCAGAAGCUAUACCCAUCCCUGAGGGAGAAUGCACAGAAUGCCUUGCCUUGAAGCUGCAACUGGGAAAGCAUGGAAAGAAUGGUUUCCAGGAUAGUGUUACUGUGCUCUUAUAAGAAGGAGGAAUGUGGAAGAGAUCCUGGAGAGAAAAAAUCAGACAAGAAUUCUAAUGUAUUUGUUGGUGGCAGGGAGUGGUGGUGAGGGUAGGAAACCAAGACAGAUCUUAAAGAUUAAAUUUAGGAGACAGAGCUUACUGCAACAGAAAAUUAAACAGAAACAAUUUUGUUUACAAAUCACGUCUAUUACCUCAUUAACAUAACUUUGUGCACAUAACAAACUGUAGUGUAGCUAAUUUUUUUCUAAAUGUCAGUAUACAUUUCAGGAUAAAAUAUAUCAAUAUUUAUCCAGUUUAAUAAACAAAGUCAGCAAAUAAAUUUUGUUUUGGUUUGUUUUUGCACAGAUGCAGUCACCAUGGUGCUUUAAGGAAAAUACAAUGGUGCAAUCUGCAUGUGCUUUCGCAAAUUUUUAAGUCGUUCAAAAUUAGAAAGAAAUCUAAAGCUUUACUGCCAGCACCAUAGGUAAAGUAAAAACAAACAAAAAACCACUAAAGCUCUGGCUAAUCAUGUUCCCCCUGCCCUAGGAAAUAUCUGUGAAUUAUUAAUAAGGCAAAAAAAACCCUGUAAGAUUUAAAUACCGAAUGACCAAUGUGCUAGGAAUGCAAAUGUUUGCUGAAUGUGUUAAAAUAACCUGGAAUUCAAAUAAUCUAACCUCAUAAUAUCCUCACAACUGAAUAAACCGCUAAACACAUUUAUUCUUAGCAAUACUUCUUACCAGCUUUACCUUGAUUUUUGUACAUAGGUAAAAUUAAAUAAAAGUAAACUUUUCUCCCAGUUAAAAUGAGUAUACUAAUAAAAAAAUCAUCCCUGGUAUAUAAACUUAAGUCCAGUGUACUAUAUAAAUGUAGGGAAUUGGCCAAUGCAACAUGCUUUGAAUAAAAAAUGCUUGAGAUUUCUAACUGGAGUGAUUUUGCAUAUUAUAAUGUUAACUGAAAAAGGGACCACAUGAAGAGGAAAGGGCAAAUCUUCACUUAUAAACAUGUUAAAUCUCAGAUGACGACAGGAAAAUGGUGUAUAGUUUAGGGAUUCAUUAAAAUAAAAAUGAAAUUAUGAAAUUAGAUGAGUCUGCCGGGUAGGUAAAGAUUGCAAAAAAUGUUAAGGAUGGAUUAAAACAUACCUAUGUUCUCCCUAAAACAAAAAAUUUAUGAUGUCACAUACUUCUACCCUACUUAAAAACAUUUCAAGAUUUUCAGGUAAGGCACCUGUGAUAUUAUGUGAUAUAUACAGUUUGCCCACUGUGUCCAUGGUUCCUGCAUCUGUGGAUUCAAGCAACUGUGGAUGGAAAAUACUCAUAAAAAAAUUGCAUAAAAUUAUAAAAAAGCAAAACUUGAAUUUACUAUGCUGAAUCUUUGAGAAUGAAGUGAUGUGUAGGUACUGUAUUAGGUAUGUAAAAAUAAAAUUUAAGGUUCUCCCAAAUGUAUUACACCAAGGGGAGAAGUUAACUCUUGGAAACUGACUCAUAACAUGGCUGUUUUCUUCUCUGAUGCAUGACCGUUGCCUUCCUGACCUCUGUGUUGAGAUUGCAUGAACCAGAGUCUACUCUUUACUUAAACCUAGACUAAAUGAGGGAGAUAGAGACCACUGUGACUAUUACCUCUUUACAAUAAAAUGUUAAUCCCUUUAGAGUGUAAUCAAUAGUAGCCAAUCAUAUAUCUAUCUGUUAGCCUUUGUAUGGAAAAUGUCAUUCUUUUUAGCACCUCAGUUUAUGCCUGUAUCAGUUUUUGCCCAUAUAAACAAUCCUCAUUUUUCUCCAUGCCAGGAGCACUGACCAGCAUUCUUUGAUGUAAUUCUGCUCGCAGAUGGCCAAUCUCAUACUUUGUACCUGAAUAAACUCUUUUAAUUGGACCCUGGGACUUUUAAUUAUUUUAGGUUGCUAAGUAUGAUAAGUAAUCUAGAGAUGCUUUAAAGUAUAGGGGACGGUUUGUGUAGGUUAUAUGCAAAUACUAUGCCAUUUAAUAAGGGUUAAUCUGAGGGUUUUGGUAUCCAGGGGGGCCUGCAACCAAUCCCCCUUGGAUACAGAAGGACUGUAUUGACUGCAUUUUGGUUUCUGUCCAUGAUUCCUAGCUUAUAGCUCCAAUAAUUCUUGAAAUUUCCUAAGUGACUAGAGCAAUAUGAUUAUCUUUUGCUAAAACAUUUGGCCCUUUGUUACUGUUUCCUGAAAAGCUCCAGAGCAAUAAAGGUGAAAGACAAUCUUUUAUUUUUAACAAGCAUCUUUCUUUUUUUUUUUUU
This is a long non-coding RNA of Cercocebus atys (sooty mangabey), 2680 nucleotides long. RefSeq lists it as uncharacterized. The transcript is spliced from 2 exons. NCBI's taxonomy places the organism in Eukaryota, Metazoa, Chordata, Mammalia, Primates, Cercopithecidae. The record is from RefSeq and is a predicted model, not a curated record.